Molecule: ribosomal RNA, 346 nt
Filed under: uncultured bacterium
Lineage: Bacteria
Description: bacterial SSU rRNA
Rfam family: Bacterial small subunit ribosomal RNA
Source: RNAcentral
CUAGCGACUUCAGAGUUUGAUCCUGGCUCAGGACGAACGCUGGCGGCGUGCUUAACACAUGCAAGUCGAGCGGGGAUUGAUGAAGUGCUUGCACGGAUUCAAUUCUAGCGGCGGGCGGGUGAGUAACGCGUGAACAAUCUGUCCCAGACAGGGGGAUAACACUUGGAAACAGGUGCUAAUACCGCAUAAGACCACGACACCACAUGGUGAUGAGGUAAAAGAUUUAUCGGUCUGGGGUGAGUUCGCGUCCGAUUAGCUAGUUGGUGAGGUAACGGCCCACCAAGGCGACGAUCGGUAGCCGACCUGAGAGGGUGAUCGGCCACAUUGGAACUGAGACACGGUCCAA